GUCUCCUCCAACAUGCCAUGGUUCAAGGGAUGGGCCGUUGAGCGCAAGGAAGGAAACGCUUCCGGAAAGACCCUCCUCGAGGCUCUCGACUCCAUCAUUCCACCACAACGCCCAACUGACCGACCACUCCG
RNAcentral lists this small RNA (131 nucleotides) under Caenorhabditis elegans. RNAcentral's name for it is "Unclassified non-coding RNA F31E3.14". Lineage: Eukaryota; Metazoa; Nematoda; Chromadorea; Rhabditida; Rhabditidae. The record is from RNAcentral.